AUUGAACGCUGGCGGCAUGCCUUACACAUGCAAGUCGAACGGUAACAGGUCUUCGGAUGCUGACGAGUGGCGAACGGGUGAGUAAUGCAUCGGAACGUGCCCAGUAGUGGGGGAUAGCCCGGCGAAAGCCGGAUUAAUACCGCAUACGACCUGAGGGUGAAAGGGGGGGAUCGCAAGACCUCUCGCUAUUGGAGCGGCCGAUGUCCGAUUAGCUAGUUGGUGGGGGAAAGGACUACCAAGGCAACGGUCUGUAGUUGGUCUGAGAGGACGACCAGCCACACUGGGACUGAAACACGGCCCAGACUCCUACGGGAGGCAGCAGUGGGGAAUUUUGGACAAUGGGCGCAAGCCUGAUCCAGCAAUGCCGCGUGCAGGAAGAAGGCCUUCGGGUUGUAAACUGCUUUUGUCAGGGAAGAAAUCUUCUGGGUUAAUACCUCGGGAGGAUGACGGUACCUGAAGAAUAAGCACCGGCUAACUACGUGCCAGCAGCCGCAGUAA
This 498-nucleotide ribosomal RNA is filed under the name uncultured bacterium. Its description in RNAcentral is "partial 16S ribosomal RNA". It matches the Rfam family "Bacterial small subunit ribosomal RNA", at positions 30 to 523 of the family's 1533-position model. The record is from RNAcentral.